UACGUAGGAGGCAAGCGUUGUCCGGAUUUACUGGGCGUAAAGCGCGCGCAGGCGGCAGUGUAAGUAAGGUGUGAAAUCUCCCUGCUCAACGGGGAGGGUGCAUUUUAGACUGCACAGCUAGAGGUCGGUAGAGGGGGGUGGAAUUGCUGGUGUAGCGGUGAAAUGCGCAGAUAUCAGGAAGAACACCCGUGGCGAAGGCGGCUCUCUGGGACGGUACUGACGCUGAGACGCGAAAGCGUGGGGAGCAAACAGG
This 253-nucleotide ribosomal RNA is filed under the name uncultured bacterium. RNAcentral's name for it is "partial 16S ribosomal RNA". It matches the Rfam family "Bacterial small subunit ribosomal RNA", at positions 524 to 776 of the family's 1533-position model. The record is from RNAcentral.